Molecule: long non-coding RNA, 1083 nt
Filed under: Gossypium barbadense (sea-island cotton)
Lineage: Eukaryota; Viridiplantae; Streptophyta; Magnoliopsida; Malvales; Malvaceae
Description: long non-coding RNA (GBAR_LNC018754)
Source: RNAcentral
CGAAAACAAAUCUACAUUUCAAGAGAUUAGUAACAAACACAAACUGCCCAAGAUAUGGGGAAGCAGUAGAAAACAUGACACAUGUUUUUCUUCAUUGUCCUGCUUCAAUAGAAGUAUGGCAAUUAGUGAACUUACAAUGGUUACUUCAAAAUCUAUUCCAGACUGGUUUGAAUGGCUUGCUUGGGCUUUUGAUGAUUGCUCAAAUCCCCAGAGGCGAAUGAUCUGCGUAUCCGUUUGGGUCCUUCGGACAGAGAGGAACAAGUAUGUGCAUGAAAAAAAUAAAGAAAUCUAGUAAAGAUAUUGCCUUCUUUAUUCAAAAAUACAUAACGAAGCUGGAUAGAUUAGAGGAAAACGGACUUACCAAGGCACCUAUCAGAGACUCAUGGGUUCUGCCUCCUGGAGAAGACAUAAAAAUCAACUUUGAUGUGGGUUUUAAUUGGGGGCUUUUAGAGCAAGCUCGGGAAUAGUUGCCAGAAACAGAAGGGAAAGAGUGAUCGCCUCCAGAGCGACCAUAUACGAGAAUGUUGACUCGGCUUUCGCAGCAGAAGCACAUGCAUGUUUAGAGGCAGUGAAAAUGGGGUUAGAAAUGAAAGAACAUAAAAUUUUUAUUGAAGGGGACUCGAUUUCAGUUAUAAGGAAAUGCACUUCAAAAUCCAGAGGUAAAUCAGAAAUAUGCUCCAUCAUACACGAUAUAAAGACUAUACAGAGAGAGUUCAAAUCCAUAAAAUUUCAGCAUGUCCAUCACACAGCAAGCAAUGCGGCAGAUAUAAUAGCCACUGAAAGUCUGAAGCAAAGGAAAGGGUUUUACCUGGAAGGUGCGGUACCAAGUCAUGCAGUCAAAACGCUAGAAGACGAAUGGAUCAGAGAACCAGACUGAAGCUUUGUGAGGAAGAUGAGUGUUUGCUCCAUGGGAAUCAAAACGUCGGAGUAAAAUGUUUUGAAGCGGAAAUGAUUCUCUGGAAAUCAGGGGAGCAUUGCUUUGGAUGGAAAAGGAUGUUUUUAGGAAAGUGAAACCGUCAGGCACUUAUGAAUGAUAGCUGAUGGGACGGAUAAUGAAUUUCCCGAGUGAGUGGGCUUUAAAUU